CAGCAGUAGCCGCGGUAAUACGUAGGUGGCGAGCGUUGUCCGGAUUUAUUGGGCGUAAAGGGAGUGUAGGCGGUCUUUUAAGUCUGAUGUGAAAGCCCACGGCUCAACCGUGGAGGGUCAUUGGAAACUGGGAGACUUGAGUGCAGAAGAGGAGAGCGGAAUUCCAUGUGUAGCGGUGAAAUGCGUAGAGAUGUGGAGGAACACCAGUGGCGAAGGCGACUCUCUGGUCUGUAACUGACGCUGAGGAGCGAAAGCGUGGGGAGCGAACAGGAUUAGAUACCCCGGUAGUCCCUGUCUCUUAUAC
RNAcentral lists this ribosomal RNA (304 nucleotides) under uncultured bacterium. RNAcentral describes it as "partial 16S ribosomal RNA". It matches the Rfam family "Bacterial small subunit ribosomal RNA", at positions 506 to 807 of the family's 1533-position model. The record is from RNAcentral.